This 99-nucleotide non-coding RNA is filed under the name Virgibacillus sp. SK37. RNAcentral describes it as "TPP riboswitch aptamer (THI element)". It matches the Rfam family "TPP riboswitch aptamer (THI element)". From Rfam's summary of the family: Vitamin B(1) in its active form thiamin pyrophosphate (TPP) is an essential coenzyme that is synthesised by coupling of pyrimidine and thiazole moieties in bacteria. RNAcentral also lists the same sequence under 1 other name. Lineage: Bacteria; Bacillati; Bacillota; Bacilli; Caryophanales; Bacillaceae. The record is from Rfam by way of RNAcentral.
GUCAAUCACUAGGGGAGCACAUUGGUGCUGAGAGAAUAAAUUCGACCCUUUGAACCUGAACUGGUUAAUACUAGCGUAGGGAAGUGCAGGAGAAAGUUC